UGUGUGUGAUAUUGCAGUGCAUUAUAUGGCAGACAGAAAUAAGCUACUUGCAGGAGUCAGUUUGUCAGUUUUGGCUGCACCUUUACCCUCUGAGUCAUCUCAUUGGCCCUUCAGUGUGUUUUUUGCAAGGUCCUAAGGAGGAAUUCUCACAGACAUUAAAAAUGUGAUAAAAAAAAAUAAGACUCAAAUCAGAAUAGCUUUGUUAUCUAAUUUUCAAUCUUAAUAAACCAAUAAAUAGCCCUACCAUCUAAAGAUGGUAUCAGAACCUGUAAGGUGCUACCUCAGACAUAUAAAAUGGUACAGCCUUUGCAUCGAGGCUACUGCUUACAGUGGCAUGAAUGAGGCAUGGUCACUUUUGCCUCAGGCAUCCAGCUGCCUCACGUUUCUUUAGCAUCUGGUUAUUUUGGCAUAGCAGCUUUUCAUCAAUGGAGUGCAAUCUUGUCCUUGCCUAAUCCUUUCUCUUGAAUAGUGUACAGCAUGUACAAAAUGUUGUUGUUUUAAUGAAUGAAGUCAUUUCCUCCUUUUUUUUUUUUUUUGACUAGAAAUAAACAUGGAGGGCACAGAAACUUCAGAGUGGAGUGUAACAUGGGAGCUUCCCUUUGUUCUCUCUGCCCUUUUCUCCCAUCCACAGGAGCUGGGAAUCCCAAGUGCAA
This 653-nucleotide long non-coding RNA is filed under the name Rattus norvegicus (Norway rat). RNAcentral's name for it is "long non-coding RNA NONRATT027995". Lineage: Eukaryota; Metazoa; Chordata; Mammalia; Rodentia; Muridae. The record is from RNAcentral.